Molecule: transfer RNA, 75 nt
Filed under: Mesorhizobium sp. M2E.F.Ca.ET.154.01.1.1
Lineage: Bacteria; Pseudomonadati; Pseudomonadota; Alphaproteobacteria; Hyphomicrobiales; Phyllobacteriaceae
Also listed under: 2 other names
Description: tRNA-Arg
Rfam family: tRNA (bases 9-64)
About the family: Transfer RNA (tRNA) molecules are approximately 80 nucleotides in length.
Source: RNAcentral
GAGUUUUCAGGGCAGAAGUUGACCGCUGCCCUCCGAAGGCAGAGGUCACAAGUUCGAAUCUUGUCGGGUGCGCCA